Molecule: long non-coding RNA, 2261 nt
Organism: Phasianus colchicus (ring-necked pheasant)
Lineage: Eukaryota; Metazoa; Chordata; Aves; Galliformes; Phasianidae
Source: Ensembl
AAAUAGCUGUGUAUGCUGCCUUUACAACUUGAAGAGGAUGUUUCCCCAUCCCCUCUGGGGAUGUAAAUAGCAUAGAGUCCUGCAGGCCUGCCCCUGGACUGGACCUGCUGUCAGUUAAUCUCUUUGAACUUUUGUCUGGCAGAUGCUGUAUGAAAAAAAUAGGGUUCUACCAUCUACCUACAGCAUGUUCCAUCGUGGGUUCACUGGAGCGGGGCUGAUUUACUGUGUCUGCUGUGCUUCCUGCUGGGCUGAGCCAUGCUUGCUCCAGCUGUUCCAGAUGAGGUCCAAGCAGAAGUGCCCAGGGCGACAUGACGGAUGGCAGCCGCACACCAUUUGCUCUCUCUCUCCAUCCCUUGAAGUGCUGUACACACAGACGUGUGCAGUGUAGGAGUAUAUACAUCAUCUCUAAAUGUUGUUAUGCCACUUCGACAAGUCCAAAGACUUGUACUUGAGGAGAAGAUAGUUGGCUUGGGAUUAUCCUCAUUUCCUGUGGGUGUUCAGUCUAAUCUUAGACAGGCUGUCAAGAAAUCUGUUUCCAAUACAGUCAAAUGUGACCUUUAUCUGUAGGAAGUUCUGUUAUGCCAGAGACACAGAAUCCUGGAGCUCAGCUUUUAUCACAAAGCCUUAGCUACACCAUAUAUAUAAGCUAAAUCCCAACUCUUGGAGGUCUGCAGGUCUAAAACCCUGAUCUUCAUUUGAAGCUCAAUGGGUCGGUUUGGAGAAGUAAAAAGCUAUAGGCCAAGUAGGUUUGUGUUGCUGUGGCAAUGCGCUUGGUUUCGGUGCUUGCUGGAGCACCCAGAGUGCCAACUUCUCCCACAUAGAUUUACAGGAAGGCUACUACCUGUGUGAAAAUGGAUUCUCAGGGAAUGGGUUGGCUGUUUUUUAGGCUGAGCUAGUGUCCUUAAAGGGAUUAAAGGGAGGCGGUAGAAAGCAUUACAUACAACUUUGCUGCUCUGCGGCAGCUUGUUUGAAGCAUCUAUUGUCUGCUGUUGGAUGUGUCUAUUAUCUGUCGUCCAAUCAGCCCCAAUGGCUGCAAGUGUAAGUUAAAUAAGGUGGGAAAGAGAACUGAUCCUUCAGGGACCCCAGGAGAGUGCAGUGGGGAAAACUGUCAGGUCCCACAUACUCCUCAGGUCUUAUGCUGUUGAAUACUGUUCACAACACAGGUUUAUACUGUUGCUUUUUAAGGAGGACCAGAAAGUAUGCAGUUUGCCAUUCCUCUUUGCUGAUGUCAUUGCAAUGCACCCUGCUCGCUUCUCAGAGAUAACAUCCUGCUGCACAGUGCUGCACUCAUUCUGGGUUGACCAUCAGCACCAAGGAAGUAGCAGAUACAACAGUCAAAUACUGUUUUCUUCUCCAAGUUCUACAAAAACUUGUAUGGGUGAACGUAUACUGAGAUAAUCAUUACUUUCAGGUCUUUUAUUUAAUUUGAGAACUAUGAGCAUAUGUGGGAGUUUCUCUGUCAAAUUUGUGUUUGACUCUAGUAUUGCUUUUCCUGCAUGUGUUCACAUUUUGCAAAAUGAUAUAGUGAAGAACCUCAGCUUUUCCCUUCAAGUUUUCCCUACCAAAGCAGGUAUGGAAAGUAUGGUUUCACCUGUUAAGACUGUUUGUAACAACACAUCAAGGCCACAAACUACUGGUAGGGUAGUUUGCUCAUGAAUACCACAGUAACAGUAGAAGCACAUCUUCAGACUGGUAGUUUCUCACGCCACUGGUUCUCUCUUCUAAAACUCAGACUAAAAUCUCUUGAAAGGGAUGUACAUAUAUAACUGCUAGACAAUAUCUCAUAUAUGCACAAAGCCAUGGACCUGUGCCCACAGAUUUUUUCCAAAUGUCAGUAAAUGCCCCAGUCUAUGCACAUCUAUCUUAGAGUUACUUCUGUAGUAUUUUUCAAAAGUGAAAAUCCCUGUGAAUGCUGCUUUUAAAUCAAUCAGCUAUAAUUUUCAGCCUCAAUAGUGGUGCAGUGUGAUAGAUACAAGACAUUGCCAAUCCAAUUUCUUGAUGGCAGUUGACUGUCUCAGACAAUGCUGUGAGUAGUAAGAAAACAAAGCAUUUCUAUUUCACAGUAAUGCCAUGGUACUUUAAUGACAGUAAGUGUUGUUGCUGAGAAUUCUGCAUUUAAAGCUGACUUCAUACAGUUCCAUCCAAGGAUACAUUUUUCACAUUAUAAUUAUCUAAUCAUGCAUUCAUUCAACAUGAACUUUGCCUUCACAUGAAAAGAUAAAAUAUUAUAUGGUUUAAAAUAAAGGGUGGAAUUGCAACCA